RNAcentral lists this long non-coding RNA (1157 nucleotides) under Equus asinus (donkey). Its description in RNAcentral is "lncRNA (ENSEASG00005031155.1)". Lineage: Eukaryota; Metazoa; Chordata; Mammalia; Perissodactyla; Equidae. The record is from RNAcentral.
AUCGACGGUUAUUGUUCCCCGAGGGGAGGGACAUGCUCAGACUCGGGGUCCACGCUGGCCGCCUCCCCAGAGCGUCCCCAGUUUCUGAAAGAAGGACCAAAGUAAAGCCAAGAACUCCCAGAUGAAGAGGACCUUCCUGGAUUUGUAACAGGGAUUAACCAAUUCUUGAUUUCAGGAGGAAGUUUCAGCUAAUUCUCAGGAUAAAGUCAAAACAGGCCUGUCCCUUGGAUACUAAAGGUGUAAACAAGCUUCUGGCCCCCCCAGGUCAAGCAGAGACACGCUUUUUAUUGGAAGGUCCCUGGAUGAGGCUGAGAUCUGAAAGCCAGGAGGCAGAAUGUGAACUUUAAUGGCCCUUUCUUACCGCCUUUCUGGGGCCAGGACUACUCUUCAGGGCUUUCCUCUGCAACUUCCCCAUCCUCCUGGCUAGCUCAGUUGAGUCUUCUCACUCCACUCCAGGCUGGGUCCUGAGCCUCUCCUGGUAGCCAGAGCAAGCUCUCCCUCUCCCUAAAUCUCUUUCCCCACCCCAACCUCCCAUUUUGCAGCGGGCCAUUCCCACUGCCUCACCCCUACCCUGCAUUAAUUCACAUUUGACUGCCUGGACAGAACAACCACGGGCUCCCAAACGACUGCCACCCCCCAGCCAUGGGCCUGGGCUUGCAGCCCUGAUCCCUUUCUUCAGGCCUCAGGAGGAUCCCCCACAACCUCCCUGGUCCCCACCUUCCCCAAAGCGGUCUCUAUGGGAAGAAAAUAGAACAGGCCGAGGCCUGAGCCAAAGAGCCAUUUCCUCCGCUUAGGCAAGCGAGGGGAGCCUCCCAGAGACCACGGCCCGAGCGCAGCCUGGCCCUCUCCCACGGCCCGGCGCCGGCCCCGCGCUGCCUUUGUGUGGCCUUCCCCGCCGCGGAGCCCUUGGGGGCGCCGCGCGCACAAUGGCGCGGCCGCUCCCGGAAGACCCGGCUGCUCCGGGCGGCCAGGGCCAGCAGCCUCGAGGCUUCGGGGCGCACCCCGCGGCCCCCAGCGCGCCGGGCCCGGGGAACGUCCCAGGCUAGGGCAGAGGCUUCCUCCCCCUGCCGCCUGGUCCCUGUCCGCCGCAGGUCCUCCUCGGGAGAGGGAGAAGCCUGGCCCAGGGCGCCAUUGCCGGGCCGGGCUCCCCUCCCCCA